GAAAAUUAGAAAAUUCAUAAGACAUUGAAUUCAAGUUUACCACUGGAAAAUCUGUAACCUGUGUCAGAAAAUAAGAAACAAAAAUGAACUACCAUUUUCAUUUGCAGUGCAUUCCAGGUAAUCUCAAGCAGAGGCAAACAUUUGAACAAGGAAGCAUAGACGCACAGAGCUGAGCAUGCUUGGAGCACGCAAUGGCUUUGCAGAUUCGGUGAGAAAGCUGAACAGUGUACAGUUAUAUUAGAUAGACCCUCACUUCACACUUCAUGGAAUUUAAGAUAUUUUUCAUUUCUUUCAGUAUGGAAACACCCCUCUGCACUAUGCUGCUCAUGCUAACAACAUGGAACGUGUGAUUGAACUUCUAAACAAUGGAUUUAAUGUGCUGCA
Pelobates cultripes (western spadefoot toad) is the source of this 384-nucleotide non-coding RNA. Lineage: Eukaryota; Metazoa; Chordata; Amphibia; Anura; Pelobatidae. The record is from the annotation of a GenBank genome assembly.